This is a non-coding RNA of Myotis brandtii (Brandt's bat), 75 nucleotides long. Lineage: Eukaryota; Metazoa; Chordata; Mammalia; Chiroptera; Vespertilionidae. The record is from Rfam.
GGCCAUUCUCAGGUGAUGCACCCCGGAAUUGGGCUCCCUCCUCUCUAGUUCCAGGUGUGUCACCUGAGAACCACU